RNAcentral lists this small RNA (107 nucleotides) under Marmota monax (woodchuck). The record is from RNAcentral. Lineage: Eukaryota; Metazoa; Chordata; Mammalia; Rodentia; Sciuridae.
GCUGGGUGUGGUGGCUCAAGCCUGUAAUCCCAGCAACUGGGGAGGCUUAGGGAGGAGGAUCGAAAGUUUGAGGCCAGCCUCAGCAACUUAGUGAGAUCCUGUCUCAA